UUCUAGCCGAAUUUGAACAAAAGAAAAAAAGGAAGAAAGCUAGCUAGGUUCGGCCAUUGUUGUGCCUAAAUUUAAGAUCAAUAAACGAAGAAAACAGAAUUGGAUCGGGGGGAAACGAAAAUAGUCGAGUAGUCGAUUGUGUCCGCUGAUAUCCGAGAUUUUGGAGUCGCGUUACGAGCUCGGGGAUCGUCAGCAUAGUCUAUCACACUAUCGACUGUCUUUGGUAUUUUAUAAAUUUUGAAUUCGAACCUAUGGCAUGUAUAGUCUAGUUAAUAUGUUUAAUUUUGGGACGUGUAAAUAUGAGCCAAGCGAAAAUGGCUUAUUCAUUUUUGUUAAGUUUGGUUUUAUGUUUUUGAUCUAUUUGGUAUAUAUAUAUUUAUAUUUAUAUGAUGUU
Molecule: long non-coding RNA, 394 nt
Organism: Gossypium raimondii (Peruvian cotton)
Lineage: Eukaryota; Viridiplantae; Streptophyta; Magnoliopsida; Malvales; Malvaceae
Exons: 3
Source: RefSeq, a predicted model, not a curated record